This 289-nucleotide ribosomal RNA is filed under the name uncultured bacterium. RNAcentral's name for it is "partial 16S ribosomal RNA". It matches the Rfam family "Bacterial small subunit ribosomal RNA", at positions 29 to 289 of the family's 1533-position model. The record is from RNAcentral.
AUGAACGCUGGCGGCGUGGAUAAGGCAUGCAAGUCGAACGGUUUUCUUUAUUGAAGAAGAUGCGAUUACAUCAAAUUAACAGAUAUUUUGAAAACAGUGGCGAACGAGCUAGUAACACCUUGGUACGUACCCGAAAGUUUGGUAUAGCUCGCCGAAAAGCGGGGUAAUCCCAAAUAGUCCCUUCAUCUAUCGGAUGAUAGGGUAAAGUAGCAAUACGCUUUCGGAUCGGCCUAGGUCCGAUCAGUUAGUUGGUGAGGUAAUGGCUCACCAAGACAAUGACCGGUAGGGG